RNAcentral lists this ribosomal RNA (402 nucleotides) under uncultured bacterium. Its description in RNAcentral is "bacterial SSU rRNA". It matches the Rfam family "Bacterial small subunit ribosomal RNA", at positions 355 to 748 of the family's 1533-position model. The record is from RNAcentral.
GGGGGAAUUUUGCGCAAUGGGGGAAACCCUGACGCAGCAACGCCGCGUGAGUGAUGAAGGCCUUCGGGUCGUAAAGCUCUGUCAGAGGGGAAGAAGUGUGGGGUGGCUAAUAUCCAUUUCACUUGACGGUACCUUCAAAGGAAGCACCGGCUAACUCCGUGCCAGCAGCCGCGGUAAUACGGAGGGUGCGAGCGUUGUUCGGAAUUAUUGGGCGUAAAGCGCGUGUAGGCGGUUUUUUAAGUCUGAUGUGAAAGCCCUGGGCUCAACCCGGGAAGUGCAUUGGAAACUGGGAGACUUGAAUACGGGAGAGGGCAGUGGAAUUCCUGGUGUAGGAGUGAAAUCCGUAGAUAUCAGGAGGAACACCGGUGGCGAAGGCGGCUGCCUGGACCGAUAUUGACGCUG